AAUUUGCCUCUCUCUCUCUCUCUCUCUCUCUCUCAUCGUGCUCGCUUCUAAUGGAGGACGCCGACACCUUCGAUCCAGACCUCAUUCAUGCCAUUUUUAAGCUCGUGUGGAACAGAAGAGCCCUCGAGCGAGAAAGGAACGAAGGCGCUGAUGCUUUGGAUAUCCAGGUUGGUGCAGGAGCAUCCAAAAAAAAUCGGCCGACAUAUGCUAAUGCAAAUGCACUCAAGCUGAGCUGUGAACUUCUCCGAAUCUUUAUCACAGAGGCGGUGCAGCGUGCUGCUACGAUUGCUGAAGCAGAGGGUGUUAGUAAAAUUGAAGCAACUCACUUGGAGAGGAUUCUCCCUCAGUUACUUUUGGAUUUUUAAGGUAUCAUGGGAAAUGCAUUUUUUGGGUCUUAGUCUCUUCAGCUGCUCUCUUACCUGCUCAGAUAUUGGAGAUUAUAACUUUGUUUUGUUUUGUUUUUUUGAUUUCUUGUAAAAGGCAAUGCAACUUGGGAGUAGUAGUACAAUGUAAUGUUUGUGUUAAAUAGAGCACCGAAUGCACUGUCUGUUGCAUGAGUUGGACAACUUUGCAGAUCAACCCGAUAUAAUUCUAGUCCACAAUGAUUCAUUUUUGUACUGCUUCCGUUGGUCUUAUGUCCACACUCCACGUAUUUGAAUCUUUGAUCUUCCAUCUAAAAGGUAGGAUUGUUCCCCACUGUCCAUGAAUUGCAUUGUAGCAAAUUAAUAUGACUACUGCACCAUAAUAAAUGCAGUUUCGAUACCAACAAAAUGCUGUUAGAAUUUUACUGGUACCACUCAAAUUGAGCUUGGUUUAAAACCAUGUAUCUCUAUACAGUAUGGUAGCAAGCUUCUCUUUGGGUGGUUUCUUGGAGAUAAUCAUGCUUCCAUAGUUCCAUAUGGAUCGCUUUCAUUGAUUGAUUGAGCUCUUUUACUACUGUUUGUUGAAAGCACAAAUAGAAACUGAAACUUCAUUACCUAAAAAUGUCUCAAUGUAGAACUCAGUCCACAUGAAAGAAGAGAGGAAAUAUCAGCAUGAACUGAAAUCGAAAGUUGAGACCACAUGGUUGCUGUGGAUAUUAUAAAUGAUCUACUAAUUUCCAAAGACUUACAGUUGAUGCUUACUUGCAUAGAAAAUACGACUAACAGCUUUCAAAUCUUCCUGGAGGUUUACCUCGCUGAGCAGUAAUAGAAAAAAGCUUUAUUUAAAAUUCAUGAUAUUUGUAUAGCCGAUAUAACUAAUGAGUUUAGUCUCAAGGCUGUAAAAUUUUGCACUGGAUUAUCUCUCCCCAUGAGCAAUGUCCUUGUGUGAUCGUUUUCUUAUCAUGAUCGAGAUUGAAUAUGCUGCUUUUAUUUUUUCGAAUAAUUGUUUAACAGCAACAGAGGUGAAGAAUUUUGAUGUCUUCUUUCAUAUACUGGAUUAUUUGAUCAGUAUGCCAGUGAAAGUGGUGACAGAAGUGGCCUGCCAUUGAGAUACUGAGUUGUUGCCAUUCAUCUUGAUAAAGCUAGUAGUGCAUCUCAUUGUUUUUAUGAUCCCUUGUAUAAAAUGAAUUUGCAAUAGAAAUUCAUUUCUGUAAAUGACCCUCAAGGCUAUGUAAUUUAGGAAUUUAAGAUGUCUUUCAUGAUCCUUAAAAUAACUGUAUUACUUAGAAACAGAGUGUAUUACUAAUGAAUGGAGAAGUUUGUAAUUGAAUUAUUA
This is an RNA transcript of Juglans microcarpa x Juglans regia, 1698 nucleotides long. It is a transcript of the gene named protein MHF2 homolog, with no coding region annotated. Lineage: Eukaryota; Viridiplantae; Streptophyta; Magnoliopsida; Fagales; Juglandaceae. The transcript has 7 exons. The record is from RefSeq and is a predicted model, not a curated record.